UAGGGAAUCUUCCGCAAUGGACGCAAGCCUGACGGAGCAACGCCGCGUGAGUGAAGAAGGAUUUCGGUUCGUAAAACUCUGUUGUUAGAGAAGAACAGCGCAUAGAGUAACUGCUAUGCGUGUGACGGUAUCUAACCAGAAAGCCACGGCUAACUACGUGCCAGCAGCCGCGGUAAUACGUAGGGCGCAAGCGUUAUCCGGAAUUAUUGGGCGUAAAGAGCUUGUAGGCGGUUCGUCGCGUCGGGUGUGAAAGCCCAUCGCUUAACGGUGGGUUUUCGCCAGGUACGGGCGGGCUGGAGUGCAGUAGGGGAGGCUGGAAUUCUCGGUGUAACGGUGGAAUGUGUAGAUGUCGGGAAGAACACCAAUGGCGAAGGCAGGUCUCUGGGCUGUUACUGACGGUGGGGAGCGAAAGGGUGGGGAGCGAACAGG
This 429-nucleotide ribosomal RNA is filed under the name Bacteroidota bacterium. RNAcentral describes it as "Bacteroidetes bacterium partial 16S ribosomal RNA". It matches the Rfam family "Bacterial small subunit ribosomal RNA", at positions 355 to 776 of the family's 1533-position model. The record is from RNAcentral. Lineage: Bacteria; Pseudomonadati; Bacteroidota.